RNAcentral lists this ribosomal RNA (404 nucleotides) under uncultured bacterium. Its description in RNAcentral is "bacterial SSU rRNA". It matches the Rfam family "Bacterial small subunit ribosomal RNA", at positions 355 to 775 of the family's 1533-position model. The record is from RNAcentral.
CAAGGAAUUUUCCGCAAUGGGCGCAAGCCUGACGGAGCAACGCCGCGUGGGGGACGACGCUUUUCGGAGUGUAAACCCCUUUUCUCAGGGAAGAACACUGACGGUACCUGAGGAAGAAGGCCCGGCUAACUACGUGCCAGCAGCCGCGGUAAUACGUAGGGGCCGAGCGUUGUCCGGAGUUACUGGGCGUAAAGCGCGCGCAGGCGGCGGACUAAGCCCGGCGUGAAAGCCCCCGGCUCAACCGGGGAGGGUCGUCGGGGACUGGUCCGCUUGAGGGCGGCAGGGGCUGGUGGAAUCCCCGGUGUAGUGGUGAAAUGCGUAGAGAUCGGGGGGAACACCCGUGGCGAAGGCGGCCAGCUGGGCCGGCCCUGACGCUGAGGCGCGAAGGCGUGGGGAGCGAACGG